This 71-nucleotide transfer RNA is filed under the name Minisyncoccota bacterium. RNAcentral's name for it is "tRNA-Trp". It matches the Rfam family "tRNA". Rfam says of the family: Transfer RNA (tRNA) molecules are approximately 80 nucleotides in length. The record is from RNAcentral. Lineage: Bacteria; Bacillati; Minisyncoccota.
GGGUCUAUAGUUCAGUGGUAGAAUAGAGGUCUCCAAAACCUUAGACCGAGGUUCGAAUCCUCGUGGGCCCG